CUUUACCAAGGUCUUGGUUGUGUGAUUCAGUGCCCUUUUUCAGAGAGCUUUUAGCAAAUAUUAUUCUACUAUUAAAGAAAAAGUGAAGACAAAGAGACCAGAGAUUGAGGGCUGAGUGGCAAAGUUUUACCACUAAGCAGGGAACUCAGUUUAGCACAGAGCAGGGUGAAACUGAAGGAGGAGAAAAGAAAGAUGUUUGUAAUGACUGAAGAUUGAAGACUCUGUUUUGUGCAUAUAUGAAAAUAUAUGCGGGAAAUGGGGAAGGCAAAGUGAGUGUGGCUGAUCAGUUGGUUAGGUCAAAUACGAACUUUUAUAAUAAACAAUGAGACCAGAACAAUCAGCUAAACAACAGAUAACUCUGUGGGCCAGAAUGUUGGUCAGACCUACUUUUAAAAAGCCUAGAAACUCUUAAGCAGAUUUGUUUGGACGGUAAUUGUCAGGCCUCUGAGCCCAAGCUAAGCCAUCAUAUCCCCUGUGACCUGCACCUACACAUCCAGAUGGCCGGUUCCUGCCUUAACUGAUGACAUUCCACCACAAAAGAAGUGAAAAUGGCCUGUUCCUGCCUUAACUGAUGGCAUUAUCUUGUGAAAUUCCUUCUCCUGGCUCAUCCUGGCUCAAAAGCUCCCCUACUGAGCACCUUGGGACCCCCACUCCUGCCCGCCAGAAAACAACCCCCCUUUUUCCUUUACCUACCCAAAUCCUAUAAAAUGGCCCCACCCCUAUCUCCCU
This 729-nucleotide long non-coding RNA is filed under the name Homo sapiens (human). RNAcentral describes it as "HSALNT0029932". The record is from RNAcentral. Lineage: Eukaryota; Metazoa; Chordata; Mammalia; Primates; Hominidae.